RNAcentral lists this long non-coding RNA (5042 nucleotides) under Gossypium raimondii (Peruvian cotton). RNAcentral describes it as "long non-coding RNA (GRAI_LNC003358)". The record is from RNAcentral. Lineage: Eukaryota; Viridiplantae; Streptophyta; Magnoliopsida; Malvales; Malvaceae.
UUUAGUAGCAAUCACCGGCCAAGUCCCUCGGAGAAUGAUCGGCACUGAUGCUUUCCAAGAAACUCUCAUUGUUGAGGUAACAAGGUCUAUUACAAAACAUAAUUAUCUUGUUCUUGAUAUAGAUGAUAUACCUAGGAUCGUUAGUGAAGCUUUCUUUUUAGCUACAUCUGGCAGACCAGGCCCUGUAUUGAUUGAUGUACCUAAGGAUAUACAGGAACAACUUGCUGUUCCUAAUUGGAACCAGCCUUUUAGAUUGUCUGGUUAGAUGUCUAGGUUGCCUAAGGAACCCAGUGAGGCUCAUUUAGAGCAGAUUGUGAGGUUGAUUUUUGAAUCUAAGAAGCCUGUUUUGUAUGUUGGUGGUGGGUGUUUGAACUCUGGUGAGGAGUUGAAGAGGUUUGCCGAGCUUACGGGAAUACCCGUCACGUGUACGUUGAUGGGUCUCGGCUCGUUUCCGACUUCGGAUCCGUUGUCGUUACAAAUGCUUGGGAUGUAUGGAACUGUGUAUGCUAACUAUGCUGUGGAUAAGAGUGAUUUGUUGCUUUCUUUUGGUGUGCGGUUUGAUGAUCACGUGACCGGGAAACUUGAGGCUUUUGCCAGCAGGGCCAAGAUUGUGCAUAUCGAUGUCGAUUCAGCAGAGAUAGGGAAGAAUAAACAACCUCAUGUGUCGGUUCAUUCCGAUGUGUAAUUGGCAUUGAAGGGGAUAAACAGGAAAUUAGAGAGUAAAGGAGCUAAGCUUGAACUUGAUUAUACGGCUUGGUGGGAGGAGUUAAUUGAGCAGAAGGUGAAAUACCCUUUGACUUAUAAGACCUUUGGUGAAGCAAUUCCGCCUCAAUACGCUGUUCAGCUUCUCUAUGAAUUAACCGAUGGGAAUGUGAUUAUAAGUACCGGUGUCCUUCAACAUCAAAUGUGGGCUGCUCAGUUUUACAAGUACAAGAGGCCGAGACAAUGGUUGACAUCUGGGGGAUUUGGGGCGAUGGGAUUUGGAUUGCCUGCUGCCAUCGGAGCUGCUGUUGCGAAUCCAGGAGCUGUUGUCGUAGACAUCGACGGUGACGGAAGUUUCAUGAUGAACGUCCAAGAAUUAGCAACAAUCCGUGUAGAGAAUCUUCCCAUCAAGAUACUGUUGUUAAAUAAUCAGCAUUUAGGCAUGGUUGUUCAAUGGGAAGAUAGAUUUUGCAAGGCAAACAGAGCUGAUUCGUAUUUGGGCAACCCGUCCAACAAGUCUGAGGUGUUCCCAAACAUGUUGAAAUUCGCAGAAGCAUGCGAAAUACCUGCCGCUCGCAUUACAAAGAAGGAAGAUCUGAGAGAAGCGAUUUGCAAAACGUUGGAAACAUCCGGACCUUACUUCUUAGACGUAAUCAUCCCGCAUCAAGAACAUGUCUUGCCUAUAAUCCCCACAGGAGGGACUUUCAAAGAUGUGAUUACUGAGGGUGAUGGAAGAACAAAAUAUUAAUUUUAAUAAACAUCAAACAUGUGUUAGUCAUAAUGUAUUUACGAGCACUAGUCAAUAAGCAUUGCUAAUUUUCUGAACAGAUUAUGCAUGCAUGCAAGUAUGUACACAUACAUAUGAAUGUACGUUGAAUGAAGUCUUCUCACUAUGUUUUGUCAUCUUUUGUUUGAUUUUAGAAAUGUUAUACUUACAAAGUGUUAUACUCAGUCAGAAGUUAAUAAAAAAAAAGGCACAUCAAGAGGAAGGUAUUGGAUACCGGAGAAAGUUCAAACAAAUUAAAUUAUGAAGAAGUGAAAAGUGAUAGGGUCGAAAUGUGAAUAUUCAAAAAUUGAGAAGUUAAAGUGUAAAUUAAAAAAAUUAAAGGAUUAAAAGUGAAAAUAACCAAAAAGAGGAAAGGUUAAUAUAAAAUUUGAGAAAGAUAAUUUUAGAGAAAAUUACCAAAAUACCUUUAAAUGUGUGGAUAAAUUGUGACCACUAAAUUUGCUUAGUGUUGAAGUAUAAUAUAUGAGCCUUUGAAUUAUAAUCAUGAUGUUGAUGAAAUUUAUAUUAUUUGUUUAGUUAAUUGUUAUAUCAUUUGACUCGAAAAGGUUCGAAUAUUUUUCGUUCGUAACUGAACUUUAAAGGAAGUUUAGAUAUGAUUUGAUUACUUUCAAGAGAAUUUAUUUAUGCUAAAACAAGUUUUGAAAAUUGAUGUUCAAGUUAAGUAGUCUUAGUGACCAAAUGUUACCUUCCUUACUUGAGAUGCAUCGGUUCAUUUGCGUUACAACCAGUAGUGGCGAAUUCGGGGUGCUGAUAGGGGCCUCGGCUUCCCUAAAAUGAAAAAUUUUUAUUUAGGUCCCAUAAAAUUUUAAAUUUAUAAUGGUAAAUUUGCACUUUGACUCUCGAAAAUGAUAAAAAUUUGAUUUAAUCAUUUGAAAAUUAUAAAGAUAUAAGCUAUUAAAAUGGUAGAAUUACAUUUUUACUAUCUUAAAACUAUACCAUUUAAUUUUGCCCCUCACACCCAGCCUGGUGUGCCAAGGCUGCCAACAAAUUCUCAGCUAAGUCCAUUUCAUAAUGCAUUUUAUGGUGCUGGUUCGGGUCUUAUCUAAGGUGGUUUCAGUGCAUAUGGAGAGAAAAUUUCGAGUUCAAGUUCUGAGUACGUCCAAAGCAAUGCAAAUAACAUGCUGGUGCAGCUACCACUACAAUAUGCUUAAAUAAUGUAUUACUUGUACUCCUUGCUGCAUCAUAGUAAUAUGUGUCUUCUUGAAGUUCCUGUAUCAAAAUCCCUUUUCUACGCAUAUCCAGACAUGUAUGAUCCUAUAAGGAUCCGUUGUACUAAAUGGCUCUGACUAUUACCUGAACUGAUAUUGAACUAAGGAUAAUAAAAAGACCAAAACCAAACUAGCAUUAUCUGUCUGUUGAGUUUCUCGUAUUCUUAUUGUUCGGCUUACUUCCGCAAGUCAUGCUGCUGAAGGUAACAUUACUCCCAUUGCCUUUGCUUGACGUUCUGGUUCAUGCAGGGUAUACUUUCAUGGUUAUCUGUUUGGCUGUCCUUGGAAAGAUUGUAUGGAGAAACUCGUACUACUUUUUGGUGCUGUGGAUGUACUUAUGCGUGGGAGUCUUCUUGGUGAAGGCGAUGAAGCGAGUCCUCUUCUCCGAGGUUAGAAUUUACGAUUUUAGUUUUUGAUAAUGAUAAAUGCUGAAACUAUCAAAUGAAAAAUGGAAGAUCACCUUCAGCAGUGGUAUAUAAGUCUGAGGAAGUCAAAUUUCAGCUCCAUUUGUUGCUUCAUUUUCAUCUCGGGGUCCGAAUCGGGGCUGAGGGAGCCUUCUCAAGGUAUAUAACUAUAAGCUUUGAAUUCUGUCUUUAAACCGGACCGUCUUGUCCCUCGACCAUCAAGUGCUUCAUAACUAAACCAAUAGUCUCUUUUGUACCCCGGUGCAGUGGCUGCAUACACUUGUAAAGUCACACGCAGGGUUCAAAGGUGACACCCGCGUAUGAGGCAGUUGCACGGACUGCCCUCGUGCUGCAGGUGUUGCAGCCUAUAUAAAAUCAUUUCCCCCUACUUGAACACAGCACUAUCAAAUCUGCAAUUGUGACCACAGGUAAAGAUGUUAUUCAUUCUUAAUGUAAUUCGCUACUUACAUUGUUAUCAUCCCUUACACUCCUACUUGCAAUAUAUGAUAAUCUAGCAAACCGAUGAACUGGACGGUAAACAACGAUGCCGAGUUCGCCUAUGGUGCCAGUCAUCUGAAUCUUGCAACAACUGAAAAUCCGGGCCUAGUCUACGACUUUGACAAGAUGUCAUGUACAAUUUCUAUGCCAUGGAGGCCUCAUUUAGUUGGCACAAAAUCGAUAAAUGGAUCCUCAAUGCUUCCUAGAUUCGGCUACGAUGCUCCUACCGACCCAUUGGUGCAACCUCAACAUGAAAAACGGCAAACAGUCAACUGUGGGUGUUUUCAAGCGAAGAGUCCCCAGUAUAGGUCCUCCAUCUAUGUACAAUGCUAUACCAUUAAGGCUCUUAAAGGACUGCAAAUCACGGUUAAAUCAACGAGCCUCCUCUUCACUUAUCCGUUGCAGAAUCAGAGUUCUAAGGUUAUAGUUAGGCUAAUAGAAGGAUUUAAUUGAUAUAAUACUAAUAACUUGAGGACUUAAUUAGAAUAUUUUAAAGUUUUAGGAUUAAUUAAGAUUAGGUCAUAGUUUAGGGACUUCUUGUGUAAUUAAUCCAAUAUUUUAGGGAACUUUAAAAGGCUUCUAAAUUUGUUUUCCACAUCAAAGAAGAGUUCAUUGCCAAACUCCCAUUGACCAUGGCGGCUACCACUGCAAAUACACCAAUACUCAAGCGUUCUCCUUUAGCUUCCUCCUCCAAAUCUUCAAUACCUAUUUCCAAAUCCGUCCUCCACUUUCGAACAAUCCCUCGAAAGCUCACGCCGCCACGUUCCCUCUCCGUUUCCAGCUCUCUUUCACAAUCAAAUUCCACCCCCGGAUCCACCGCCUCCUCCGUCGCCCCAACGAAGGCCCCUACCCAUGAUUUCAUUUCCCGUUAUGCCCCCGACGAGCCUCGAAAAGGCGCCGAUAUCCUCGUUGAAGCCCUUGAACGUGAAGGGGUCAAGGACGUAUUUGCUUACCCAGGUGGAGCUUCACUGGAGAUCCACCAAGCUUUAACACGAUCCAAACUGAUCCGAAAUGUCCUUCCACGACACGAACAAGGUGGGGUUUUCGCCGCCGAGGGUUAUGCUCGCUCCUCCGGCCUUCCCGGCGUUUGCAUCGCAACUUCCGGCCCGGGAGCAACUAACUUAGUGAGCGGCCUAGCUGAUGCGAUGAUCGAUAGUAUUCCUUUAGUAGCAAUCACCGGCCAAGUCCCUCGGAGAAUGAUCGGCACUGAUGCUUUCCAAGAAACUCCCAUUGUUGAGGUAACAAGGUCUAUUACAAAACAUAAUUAUCUUGUUCUUGAUAUAGAUGAUAUACCUAGGAUCGUUAGUGAAGCUUUCUUUUUAGCUACAUCUGGCAGACCAGGUCCUGUUUUAAUCGAUGUACCUAAGGAUAUACAACAACAGCUUGCUGUUCCUAAUUGGAACCAACCUUUAAGAUUGUCUGGUUAUAUGUCUAGGUUGCCUA